Molecule: unclassified non-coding RNA, 394 nt
Filed under: Hevea brasiliensis (rubber tree)
Lineage: Eukaryota; Viridiplantae; Streptophyta; Magnoliopsida; Malpighiales; Euphorbiaceae
Source: RNAcentral
GGGGCCUUGAGCCAUUUCUUUGCGUUCAUGUUGAACUCAACAUAGAAUUAUAAGGUUCUUGCUAAGUAAAAUGGGUCCGUUUAUACCUAGAGUCUAGCAACCAUUACACUCGCAGAUCACCGGAUAACUGCUAAGCUGGAGAUUUGGAGCCCUUAGCCGGCUCUGGAAGACAGGUUCUUUGCUGUUGUUCAUGGUUUCUCGGUGUGCUUGGAAAAACUCCUUUGGUCGUUCUUCCCCUCGAUGCUUGGGUGCUAGACGGUCCAGUGAAGGGAGACUUCUCCCUAGAAUUGUUUGCCAGGGUUUUCUUGUGUGGACCUUGGGCCUUGAUUGUGUUGCCAGCCUUUUCGGCCCUUUUUGUUCUGUAUGCUGCUUGGUGUUGGGGCGGGAAUUUUUA